GUGUUUCUUUUUAAUCAUGCCUAGAAUGAAUAUAUUUUUUGAGUUUCAUUUUACUGUUUGUAUGAUGAUAUGAAACUUCUGAUUUCAAAAUUGCUUUCGCUUUUCCAUUUAUUGCACAAAGUAAGACUACAAGCUUUACCUUUCCAUGUUGCAACCCACAGUUGGCUUAUUGUUACUCUUCUUUUUCCUUCAAUUAUGCUUUGUUGAUUCACUAUUCUAGACCAUGAACAAAAACAUACUAUUGAUGGAAAUUGUACUAUUUAAGUGGAACCACACAAUUGUACACUCCAAACUCCUUUCCUUUCUUAGUUAAUAUUGUUAUUGUUACUAUUUUAUUGAUUUUAUGUCUUAUCACCUUGAAAUCAGUGGUAGGGUUGUGAAUGGUUAUGGUGGUGGCCGAAGCACACCUUUAGAUAAACAAGAACCCACAGUUGUUCAUCAAAAGCCAGGACCCCAUCAAACCAUAUUUGAUCUACUUCCAAAUGAGAUUGUGGAACAUAGUUAUUCAUGUGCACUUGAGAGGUCGUUCUUAUAUCAUGGCAUUCAACUUUAAGGCCCUUAGAGGUGGCUGCAUUACCUCAAAUCACACAGAACUAUCACAUACAAGAGUAAAGUUUCUCUGCUCUCGGUGUUACCAUUGUAAUUCGUCUUUGUCUAUGGGUCUGAGGGGCUGUGAGCAUGGUUUUCUCCAUUUGGUCAAGUGAAUACUUGGUGAUAAUUAAUGGAGAUCCAACUAGCUCUAAUGUGGUCCAAGAUUUUUAGAGAAAGUAAGUUCAAGACGAACUCAUGGAUGCUCAUGAUGAAUGUGAUGUGGAUUGAGCGAAGUUGUAGUUAGAUUAGAUUGUAACUUUUAGUUUACUGAACUUGGGAAAAUUAAUCUAUGCUCAUUGAUUGUAUACUUUGGAUGUUGAUAUAUAAUUUUGGUUAGUAAUCAUGUGUAAAUUUGCAGAUUUUAAUUUUUUUUUUUGUGUCAUGGAAAAGAUACAAUGACGUUUUUUCU
Molecule: long non-coding RNA, 1000 nt
Organism: Rosa rugosa (rugosa rose)
Lineage: Eukaryota; Viridiplantae; Streptophyta; Magnoliopsida; Rosales; Rosaceae
Exons: 6
Source: RefSeq, a predicted model, not a curated record